This 443-nucleotide ribosomal RNA is filed under the name uncultured bacterium. Its description in RNAcentral is "partial 16S ribosomal RNA". It matches the Rfam family "Bacterial small subunit ribosomal RNA", at positions 338 to 795 of the family's 1533-position model. The record is from RNAcentral.
CCUACGGGUGGCAGCAGUGGGGGAUAUUGGACAAUGGGGGGAACCCUGAUCCAGCGACGCCGCGUGAGUGAAGAAGUAUCUCGGUAUGUAAAGCUCUGUCAGCAGGGAAGAAAGCAAUGACGGUACCUGACCAAGAAGCCUCGGCUAACUACGUGCCAGCAGACGCGGUAAUACGUCGGGGGCAAGCGUUAUCCGGAAUUACUGGGUGUAAAGGGAGCGUAGGCGGCUGUGCAAGUCUGGAGUGAAAGGCGGGGGCCCAACCCCCGUACUGCAUUGGAAACUGUAUGGCUGGAGUGCAGGAGAGGUAAGCGGAAUGCGUGGUGUAGCGGUGAAAUGCGUAGAUAUUAGGAGGAACACCGAUGGCGAAGGCAGCUUACUGGACUGUAACUGACGUUGAGGCUCGAAAGCGUGGGGAGCAAACAGGAUUAGAUACCCGGGUAGUC